RNAcentral lists this ribosomal RNA (433 nucleotides) under uncultured bacterium. RNAcentral describes it as "partial 16S ribosomal RNA". It matches the Rfam family "Bacterial small subunit ribosomal RNA", at positions 29 to 507 of the family's 1533-position model. The record is from RNAcentral.
AACGAACGCUGGCGGCAUGCCUAACACAUGCGAGUCGAACGAGACCUUCGGGUCUAGUGGCGCACGGGUGCGUAACGCGUGGGAACCUGCCCUUAGGCUCGGAAUAACUCCCCGAAAGGGGUGCUAAUACCGGAUAAUGUCUUCGGACCAAAGAUUUAUCGCCUUUGGAUGGGCCCGCGUUGGAUUAGCUAGUUGGUAGGGUAAAAGCCUACCAAGGCGACGAUCCAUAGCUGGUCUGAGAGGAUGAUCAGCCACACUGGGACUGAGACACGGCCCAGACUCCUACGGGAGGCAGCAGUGGGGAAUAUUGGACAAUGGGCGAAAGCCUGAUCCAGCAAUGCCGCGUGAGUGAUGAAGGCCUUAGGGUUGUAAAGCUCUUUUACCCGGGAUGAUAAUGACAGUACCGGGAGAAUAAGCGCCGGCUAACUCCGUG